Molecule: ribosomal RNA, 405 nt
Filed under: uncultured bacterium
Lineage: Bacteria
Description: bacterial SSU rRNA
Rfam family: Bacterial small subunit ribosomal RNA
Source: RNAcentral
UGGGGAAUAUUGCACAAUGGGCGAAAGCCUGAUGCAGCGACGCCGCGUGAGGGAUGACGGCCUUCGGGUUGUAAACCUCUUUCGACAGGGACGAAGCGCAAGUGACGGUACCUGUAGCAGAAGCACCGGCCAACUACGUGCCAGCAGCCGCGGUAAUACGUAGGGUGCGAGCGUUGUCCGGAAUUACUGGGCGUAAAGAGCUUGUAGGCGGCUUGUCGCGUCGAUCGUGAAAACUCACAGCUCAACUGUGAGCUUGCGGUCGAUACGGGCAGGCUUGAGUACUGCAGGGGAGACUGGAAUUCUUGGUGUAGCGGUGAAAUGCGCAGAUAUCAGGAGGAACACCGGUGGCGAAGGCGGGUCUCUGGGCAGUAACUGACGCUGAGAAGCGAAAGCGUGGGUAGCGAA